CAAAGGUUUGGUCCUAGCUUUUUUAUUAGUUGUUAGUAAAAUUAUACAUGCAAGAAUCAUCUUCCCAGUGAGAAUGCCCUCCAAGUCAUGCAGACAUAGAGGAGCAGGUAUCAAGCACACUAAUAAAGUAGCUCAUAACACCUUGCUUAGCCACACCCCCACGGGAUACAGCAGUAAUCAAAAUUAAGCAAUAAACGAAAGUUUGACUAAGUUAUACAACUUCUACAAAGGGUUGGUAAAUCUCGUGCCAGCCACCGCGGUCAUACGAUUAACCCUAAUUAAUAAACCCUCGGCGUAAAGAGUGUUAAAAAUAACAUUAUAAUAAGAUAAAAUUUUAUCUAAGUCGUAAAAAACAACAGAUAAAAACAAGACCAUUUACGAAAGUAAUCUUAAUAUAUCUGAAAACACCAAAGCUAAGAUCCAAACUGGGAUUAGAUACCCCACUAUGCUUAGCCGUAAACACAAACAUUUAAUAACAAAAAUUUUCGCCAGAGAACUACUAGCCACAGCUUAAAACUCAAAGGACUUGG
RNAcentral lists this ribosomal RNA (530 nucleotides) under Clyomys laticeps (broad-headed spiny rat). RNAcentral's name for it is "partial 12S ribosomal RNA". It matches the Rfam family "Bacterial small subunit ribosomal RNA", at positions 8 to 913 of the family's 1533-position model. The record is from RNAcentral. Lineage: Eukaryota; Metazoa; Chordata; Mammalia; Rodentia; Echimyidae.